UAGGGAAUCUUCGGCAAUGGACGAAAGUCUGACCGAGCAACGCCGCGUGAGUGAAGAAGGUUUUCGGAUCGUAAAACUCUGUUGUUAGAGAAGAACAAGGACGUUAGUAACUGAACGUCCCCUGACGGUAUCUAACCAGAAAGCCACGGCUAACUACGUGCCAGCAGCCGCGAUAAUACGUAGGUGGCAAGCGUUGUCCGGAUUUAUUGGGCGUAAAGCGAGCGCAGGCGGUUUCUUAAGUCUGAUGUGAAAGCCCCCGGCUCAACCGGGGAGGGUCAUUGGAAACUGGGGGACUUGAGGGCAGAAGAGGAGAGUGGAAUUCCAUGUGUAGCGGUGAAAUGCGUAGAUAUAUGGAGGAACACCAGUGGCGAAGGCGGCUCUCUGGUCUGUAACUGACGCUGAGGCUCGAAAGCGUGGGGAGCAAACAGG
Molecule: ribosomal RNA, 429 nt
Filed under: Gemmatimonadota bacterium
Lineage: Bacteria; Pseudomonadati; Gemmatimonadota
Description: Gemmatimonadetes bacterium partial 16S ribosomal RNA
Rfam family: Bacterial small subunit ribosomal RNA
Source: RNAcentral